RNAcentral lists this ribosomal RNA (253 nucleotides) under uncultured bacterium. RNAcentral describes it as "partial 16S ribosomal RNA". It matches the Rfam family "Bacterial small subunit ribosomal RNA", at positions 524 to 776 of the family's 1533-position model. The record is from RNAcentral.
UACGAAGGGACCUAGCGUUGUUCGGAAUUACUGGGCGUAAAGGGCGCGUAGGCGGUCUUUUAAGUCAGAUGUGAAAGCCCUGGGCUUAACCUGGGAGGUGCAUUUGAUACUGGAAGGCUAGAGAUCGAGAGGGGGUAGUGGAAUUGCGAGUGUAGAGGUGAAAUUCGUAGAUAUUCGCAGGAACACCAGUGGCGAAGGCGGCUACCUGGCUCGAAUCUGACGCUAAGGCGCGAAAGCGUGGGGAGCAAACAGG